GAUGAACGCUGGCGGCGUGCCUAAUACAUGCGAGUCGAACGAACAGACGAGGAGCUUGCUCCUCUGACGUUAGCGGCGGACGGGUGAGUAACACGUGGAUAACCUACCUAUAAGACUGGGAUAACUUCGGGAAACCGGAGCUAAUCCCGGAGAAUAUAUUGAACCGCAUGGGUCAAUAGAGAAAGACGGUUUUGCGGGCAGUUAUAGAGGGUUCCGCGCCGCAUUAGCUAGUUGGGAAGGUAAAAGGCUACCAAGGCAACCAUGCGUAGGCGAGCUGAGAGGGUGGUCGGCGACACUGGAACGUGGCCACGGUCCAGACUCCUACGGGAGGCAGCAGUAGGGAAUGUUCGGCAAUGGGCGAAAGCUUGACGGAGUAAGGCGGAGUGAGUGAUGGAGGUGUUCGGAUCGUAAAACUCUGUUAUGAGGGAAGAACAAAUGUGUAAGUAAAUAUGCACGUAGUGACGGUACCUAAUAAGAAAGCCACGGCUAACUACGUG
This 497-nucleotide ribosomal RNA is filed under the name uncultured bacterium. RNAcentral describes it as "partial 16S ribosomal RNA". It matches the Rfam family "Bacterial small subunit ribosomal RNA", at positions 28 to 507 of the family's 1533-position model. The record is from RNAcentral.